GUUCCUUUUUUUUUUUUUUUUCGUUCCCAAGUCACAUCCGGGUUUUGUUUGCGAAGCCAGAAAAGGAGGACACUAGCCUGCAGGAAAUAACGGCCCUUCUCCUCUCCAAGUUUCAAAAAUAUACAGCGUGUUACUUUUCCCCAGUUACAUGGGUGUUGUGGGAAAAGGCCCAGGAGGAGAACGAAACUGAGCUGUAAUCUCAGAAACACCCUCCACGUCUGUUGAUGUGUAUCCAUCCCGUCUGUUUAAUGCCUGAAACAUAGUGACACAUUGGGGGGUCAAGGGGGCAUUGGGAUGUGAAUAUUGUUUCCAAUCUGCAGGGCCAUUUUCGGACAUUAAUGAACUCUCUGCAACUUCCACAGCAGAGCUCUUACUCUUUCUUCAGGGGGAUGUUUUGUAAUGAUUUGGACGACACACGGAUGAUACUAGAGAAGACAGAAGAAGGAAUCUGAAAGUUCUUACCAGGAAGUGUUUCCCUAAUCCCCAUCAACCGCGGUUUGGGUGACUGUCCACACCAAGGGUUAGGAAUUCCUGGCUCCCGCAAACUUCCUGGAGGUCGGCAGUGGAUUCCCUCAGCUUGGGUUUCUCCGCUCUCUGGAAAGCAGUAUUCAUCUUGCUGCCAUUUUGUAAAGCCAGGAAAGGUUCUACCCCCUUGUCCUCAAUGAAUACACUGGAGGGACAGGAACAAUAAGCUACUUGGUCUCCGUGCAGUAAAAGGAGUCCAGAUACGGGAAUGUAAGGAAGAAUACGGGGCUGAAUAUCAAGAACUAGUCU
Neogale vison (American mink) is the source of this 774-nucleotide long non-coding RNA. RefSeq lists it as uncharacterized. The record is from RefSeq and is a predicted model, not a curated record. The transcript has 3 exons. Lineage: Eukaryota; Metazoa; Chordata; Mammalia; Carnivora; Mustelidae.